UCAGCUGGCCAACCGCGUGGUGUGGAGCGGGCGCACAGCAGUGAGGGGUUUCCUGAGCACAUGAGGGUUCCUCUGGGAGUAACCACCACAACUCCCAGCCUCCUCUGAGCCUCUGUGGACCGGGCGUGGUUCACGCCAUUGUUUGGAACGCUGUGGCCUUACACAUGCUUUCUGCCAGCUCCACAGUGCAGGAGCCGCCAGGGGAGCCGUGGUUACUCACUUUAGCAGCAGAGCAGGGAAGACGCACCUCAUACUACUCUCCAGGCAGCCCAGGCUCUGCUUGCCCAGUGACGGGAGACCCCUGGGGGCACCUGCCUGGAGCCCCACAGUGGGCCACCGGCUACACGUUCCUGUGUCCCCAGCGUGUGGGGGAUUAUUCCACAAGUACUGUGUCUAAUGUGAGUUAUGUGAUGGUGACAACGAGGCUCUGAAGAGUGGACGGCUUCCCGCGUGCCAGCCGUGCCAGUGUCAGGCCUGCACAGCGCUGUCCUGAGCCCAGGACACGCCCCAAAUGAGGACCAGCCUGGACACGAAGGCAGCUGCCCACCACAGCCCAUCACCACCCUCGGCUUCUGUUGACUUCUGACUGCUGAGAGGACAAACCUGUCUUUCUGGUUGACCUCGGCGAGGACACACGGAGAGGCACAGCCCUGCCCCAUACGUGGUUCAUAUACUCAGCACCUCGUGAUGAAUUACUUUUCUUCCGUGGCUUCAACAUCCUUUCUGCAAUGACACCACUGUCAGCAUCUGUUCAGGCCUAUGCCCGGCACCAUCAAAGGACAUCUGCAAAGGCUCAGCACAGGGCCUGGCACUUUGGGCACCAGCUAGUAACCACAAGAAGUCUUCCCGGCCCAGCCCUGGCUAGCAGACUCUUCUCUGCCCCAACUCCGGGACCUUGUCCAUCCCCUAGUGUGAGCAGGGUCUAUCCCCUACCUGCCCAUACAGUCCGGCUCAGAUGCGCCUGGUACCUGCCUGAGUCUGGCACAGAGCUCACGGCGUGGAAGAAGUUCCAGGAUGCUGGUCGGUGGAUCCCCAGAGCCCUCACUCCUCCCCACUGCUGGAUCCAGCUCCUCCUCUCAUCAGAGGCAGUAGGGCCCUUGGACAGAAGGAAAUAGUCCUCUUUGAAUAAUUGACCUUCCCCCCACUUUUGCCCUGAGGGAGCGAGUGUUUUUACACCCCCUAAACUUUUGGAGAACCUGCCAUCACCAGCUGCUGGGGGGACAUCCUGGGAACAAACCUCAGGGCCUGGCCUCAUUAGGAAAAUGAGCAGUCUGAGGUGUCCCUGAGACGGGGACUGGGCAGAGACCCCUGGCCCUCGUUCCCCAGGGGAAGUAGGAAUCAUGUCUGCACAGCCCUCCAGGCCCCUGCCAGAGGAGCCUUUUCUAAUUCCUUGGGAAAUGCUCCUCCUUCCAGGUCUCCUGCCCACAGUGUCUCCAUUUUCCUGUCUGGUCACAGUCACAAACAGCAGCCAAAUUCCCAUGUCCCCACCGUCUGCUGUGCUCCUCCCCUCUCAGGACCAUGUGCACGUGUGGUGGCCUGAGUGUGAAGUAGAGUGGUCCCCACCAAUGACUGAGUCCUGCAGGUAACGGUGACACGGGGGUCUGAGGGGCGUUUUGCUAUGUGUUUGCAUUUCUCUGCAUCCCUCCAUUUGGGAGCAGGGAUCUGGGGAGCAGGAGGGGUCAGUUUUCUUUGCAGAAGAUCUUAGGGAACACGCUGACUCAGGCUUUGAGGACCUGUCGCCACUCUCAGCCAUGUGUGGCUUCUGUUCCUGGCCUUCCUGGGGUUUCCUUCCCAGGACACUGAGGAGCACAUGGGUGAGAAAGCCCUGGGCUCCGACCAGCUCCACCCCGGACCGCUCAGGGAGGGGCUCCUCCUGUGCGGAUUUUCUUGGUGAAUGAUAGCAGAUGGGCAGCGGGGCAGGGUCUUGAAUACUGGGUAAGAAGUCUGGCUUCACCCUGAGGACCAAGUGCCCUUUGCAGCCAGCUCAUCCCACCAAGGGCCCAGGAAACCCAGCGGCUCCAACACCUUCAGGCAGCGAUGCACCUUGAGAUUCGUAGAUAGAGCUGGGACCAGAAGGAAAAUGUCUGAGAGCUUCAAGGAUGCUUCUGAGCCAGGCCCUCGUCCUACAUCUGAGCAGUUCACAUGCAACCAUUCUCUGGCUAUGAUGACCUUAGUUCGGCACCCGAAUGCCACAGAAUGUGGCCAGGGCAGGACUCAGCAUUUGGCUGUGGGGGUACAACUUUAGAAGCAGUGGGGGGGCUCUGUGGCCACUCCUCUUCCCCUCCUAGGAGGUGGCACCACGGGGUAGUGAUGACAAGCAUCCGACACACAGGUGGGAAUCCCAGCUCUACCCUUCACGGGUGCUCCCCUCCAUGCAUUUCUUAAUUUCCCAGGGCCUCCCUUCCCUCAUUCUAUGACUAAGAAUCACAGGCCAUCUUCCACAUAGAGACCAUCUGAGGACUUAACGCAGUAACAUUCGCCAAACACUCAGGACUGCAGUUGGCAUGUUGGUAAGACCACAGUAAAAUUAGCUAUUAUGAUGA
Long non-coding RNA from Nycticebus coucang (slow loris), 2543 nucleotides. RefSeq lists it as uncharacterized. The transcript has 2 exons. NCBI's taxonomy places the organism in Eukaryota, Metazoa, Chordata, Mammalia, Primates, Lorisidae. The record is from RefSeq and is a predicted model, not a curated record.